CAUUGUGAGACUGGUGAAGGGCCUGCCAGAUUCUAUAACUGCAUUGUGAAGCAGACUAUCUGGGGAAAUCACUCCAUUUCAGAGAAAGGAGAUACUUGUUUUGCUUUCUUUUUUUGGCUUUUGCUGCCUUUCUUUUCUUCUCUCAUAUUGGGUGUAAAAGUGAAUUCUUGAAAGUUUUCUAGGAAAAGAGAACACUCAAGAGAACAUUAAAAAGAUCUCGACUUCAGGGUCGUGGACCUUACUCGCAGAGAUGGCAAUCCCAAUUGCCAGACUGCCGUUGUCAGAGAAGAGCUGGGCCAGGGAGGUGUUCAGUACCAGGCAAUCCCCAUCAGUGAUGAUGGAGUCCACACACUCCAGGACCGAUCUGGGGGUGGCCUCCCACUUCAGGCGCCUUUGGUUCCUGUUGAGCUCCAGGCGGGAGGAGAGAAGGAAGAAAGAAAGGAAGAGAAUUUGGAACUCAAAGGUUUGAAAACAAAUGUCAAAAUUUGUUUUUACAUGUAAUUGGAAAAAAUAAAAUCUCAAGAUUUUUUGAGAAGAAAAUUCUCACUUGAUUUUGCCUUAUUCUGACAGACCUGCCAUUCAUCCUGCUAAGAUUGCCCCAAGAUCUUCUUUUCUUUUCUUUUAAAAAUAAAAUUAUGGAAAGAUGCCUAAAGUUCUUUAAAGACUUUGGCUUUAAUUUUGUAGCAAAUUGGGGCAUAGACUUCACUGAAUUUGGGUUUUUUUUCCUUAGAAAGAUUAGUUCCUUCUUUCUGAUAGGCAAAUUCCUUUAUAUUUCCACUGAUUUUUUUUCUUACUCUUGGAAUUGAGAAAAAAUAAACUGCAGCAGUACAGUGUGAAUGCUAA
Molecule: long non-coding RNA, 843 nt
Organism: Monodelphis domestica (gray short-tailed opossum)
Lineage: Eukaryota; Metazoa; Chordata; Mammalia; Didelphimorphia; Didelphidae
Source: RefSeq, a predicted model, not a curated record